RNAcentral lists this ribosomal RNA (813 nucleotides) under uncultured archaeon. Its description in RNAcentral is "bacterial SSU rRNA". It matches the Rfam family "Archaeal small subunit ribosomal RNA", at positions 84 to 880 of the family's 1478-position model. The record is from RNAcentral.
UACUGCUCAGUAACACGUGGCUAACCUGCCCUCGGGACGAGAACACCCCCGGGAAACUGGGGCUAAUUCUCGAUAGGCGAAGAACUCUGGAAUGAGUCUUCACCCAAAAGACGUUUAGAUCAUGCUUUUAGGCGUCGCCCAAGGAUGGGGCCGCGACCGAUCAGGUUGUUGGUGAGGUAAUGGCUCACCAAGCCUUUAACCGGUGCGGGCCGUGGGAGCGGGAGCCCGGAGAUGGGCACUGAGACAAGGGCCCAGGCCCUACGGGGCGCAGCAGUCGCGAAAACUUUGCAAUAAGCGAAAGCUUGACAGGGCUAUCCCGAGUGCCAUCCGCUGAGGAAGGCUUUUACCCAGUCUAGUAAGCUGGGGGAAUAAGGAGAGGGCAAGUCUGGUGUCAGCCGCCGCGGUAAUACCAGCUCUCCGAGUGGUGUGGAUGUUUAUUGGGCCUAAAGCAUCCGUAGCUGGCUGAGUUAGUCCCCUGUUAAAUCCACCGAAUUAAUCGUUGGAUUGCGGGGGAUACUGCUCGGCUAGGGGACGGGAGAGGCAGACGGUAUUUUCGGGGUAGGGGUGAAAUCCUAUAAUCCCGGGAAGACCACCAGUGGCGAAGGCUGUCUGCUAGAACGCGCCCGACGGUGAGGGAUGAAAGCUGGGGUAGCGAACCGGAUUAGAUACCCGGGUAGUCCCAGCUGUAAACGAUGCAGGCUAGGUGUUUGGGCGGCCACGUGCCGCUCUAGUGCCGCAGGGAAGCUGUUAAGCCUGCCGCCUGGGGAGUACGAUCGCAAGAUUGAAACUUAAAGGAAUUGGCGGGGGAGCACA